This 482-nucleotide ribosomal RNA is filed under the name uncultured bacterium. RNAcentral describes it as "partial 16S ribosomal RNA". It matches the Rfam family "Bacterial small subunit ribosomal RNA", at positions 30 to 507 of the family's 1533-position model. The record is from RNAcentral.
AUUGAACGCUGGCGGCAUGCUUUACACAUGCAAGUCGAACGGCAGCGCGGGGCAACCUGGCGGCGAGUGGCGAACGGGUGAGUAAUAUAUCGGAACGUACCCAGAAGUGGGGGAUAACGUAGCGAAAGUUACGCUAAUACCGCAUACGAUCUACGGAUGAAAGUAGGGGACCGCAAGGCCUUAUGCUUUUGGAGCGGCCGUUAUCUGAUUAGCUAGUUGGUGAGGUAAAGGCUCACCAAGGCGACGAUCAGUAGCUGGUCUGAGAGGACGACCAGCCACACUGGAACUGAGACACGGUCCAGACUCCUACGGGAGGCAGCAGUGGGGAAUUUUGGACAAUGGGCGCAAGCCUGAUCCAGCAAUGCCGCGUGAGUGAAGAAGGCCUUCGGGUUGUAAAGCUCUUUUGUCAGGGAAGAAACGGUAGAGGCUAAUAUCCUUUGCUAAUGACGGUACCUGAAGAAUAAGCACCGGCUAACUACGUG